GGUGCUCCUAGGUUUGGAAGUAUAAAUCCCAGGGGAAGUGAGCUGAAGAACAUUUCACACAUCACUCAUCCUAUUAUGAGCCCUGUACUGUUCCAUCUCUCUACAAGG
Molecule: unclassified non-coding RNA, 108 nt
Organism: Neogale vison (American mink)
Lineage: Eukaryota; Metazoa; Chordata; Mammalia; Carnivora; Mustelidae
Source: Ensembl